GAUGAACGCUGGCGGCGUGCCUAAUACAUGCAAGUCGAGCGAACAGACGAGGAGCUUGCUCCUCUGACGUUAGCGGCGGACGGGUGAGUAACACGUGGAUAACCUACCUAUAAGACUGGGAUAACUUCGGGAAACCGGAGCUACGACCGGAUAAUAUAUUGAACCGCAUGGUUCAAUAGUGAAAGACGGUUUUUCUUUCACUUAUAGAUUGAUCCGCGCCGCAUUAGCUAGUUGGUAAGGUAACGGCUUACCAAGGCAACGAUGGGUAGCCGCCCCGAGAGGGUGGACGGCCACCUUGUAAGUGAGAAACGGCAGCGACUCCUACGGGAGGAAGCAGUAGAGAAUCCUACGCAAGGGAGGAAUGCGUGACAGAGCAACGCGGCGUGAGUCAUGAAGGAGUACGGCUCCGAGAGCUCUGUAAGUAUGGAAGAAGAAAUGUGUAAGUACCCAUGAAGGUAAUGACGGUACCGAGUGAGAAAGCCACGGCUAACUACGUG
Molecule: ribosomal RNA, 497 nt
Filed under: uncultured bacterium
Lineage: Bacteria
Description: partial 16S ribosomal RNA
Rfam family: Bacterial small subunit ribosomal RNA
Source: RNAcentral